RNAcentral lists this ribosomal RNA (365 nucleotides) under Phellinus igniarius. RNAcentral's name for it is "eukaryotic LSU rRNA". The stretch from base 1 to 105 matches the Rfam family "5.8S ribosomal RNA", at positions 50 to 154 of the family's 154-position model. The record is from RNAcentral. Lineage: Eukaryota; Fungi; Basidiomycota; Agaricomycetes; Hymenochaetales; Hymenochaetaceae.
GAAAUGCGAUAAGUAAUGUGAAUUGCAGAAUUCAGUGAAUCAUCGAAUCUUUGAACGCACCUUGCGCUCUUUGGUAUUCCGAAGAGCAUGCCUGUUUGAGUGUCAUAAAAUUCUCAAUUCUCUUGAUUUUGUUUAUAAAUGAAGAAAAUUGGAUAUGGAGGGUUUUGCUGGCUUAAUAUGUCGGCUCCUCUUAAAUGCAUUAGCUGAGCUUUCACUUGAUGCAAYGGUGUAAUAAUAAUCUUCACCGACGUCACGAGUGAUAAAGGCUUGCUUCAAAUUGUCUCUAUUUGAGACACUAUAAAGUGCCUAAGGGUGCUUUUGAUUCUUUUGACCUCAAAUCAGGUAGGAUUACCCGCUGAACUUAA